Non-coding RNA from Hippocampus comes (tiger tail seahorse), 73 nucleotides. NCBI's taxonomy places the organism in Eukaryota, Metazoa, Chordata, Actinopteri, Syngnathiformes, Syngnathidae. The record is from Ensembl.
UAGAUGGAUGCUCGCUGGUUAGAGUGUCUAGCUGUUAACUAGGAAAUUGUAGGAUCGAGGCCUUCCCAUCUAG